CUACGGAGGGUGCAAGCGUUAUUCGGAAUCACUGGGCGUAAAGGACGCGUAGGCGGGUUGGCAAGUCAGAUGUGAAAUCCUACAGCUUAACUGUAGAACUGCAUUUGAAACUGCUAACCUAGAGUAUGUGAGGGGGAGAUGGAAUUAGUGGUGUAGGGGUAAAAUCCGUAGAUAUCACUAGGAAUACCGAAAGCGAAGGCGAUCUCCUGGAACAUAACUGACGCUAAGGCGUGAAAGCGUGGGGAGCAAACAGGAUUAGAUACCCUAGUAGUCC
Molecule: ribosomal RNA, 274 nt
Filed under: uncultured bacterium
Lineage: Bacteria
Description: partial 16S ribosomal RNA
Rfam family: Bacterial small subunit ribosomal RNA
Source: RNAcentral